RNAcentral lists this ribosomal RNA (274 nucleotides) under uncultured bacterium. RNAcentral's name for it is "partial 16S ribosomal RNA". It matches the Rfam family "Bacterial small subunit ribosomal RNA", at positions 523 to 796 of the family's 1533-position model. The record is from RNAcentral.
AUACAGAGGGUGCAAGCGUUAAUCGGAAUUACUGGGCGUAAAGCGCGCGUAGGCGGCUUGGUCAGUCGGAUGUGAAAGCCCCGGGCUCAACCUGGGAACUGCAUUCGAUACUGCCAGGCUAGAGUAUGGUAGAGGGUAGUAGAAUUCCUGGUGUAGCGGUGAAAUGCGUAGAUAUCAGGAGGAAUACCAGUGGCGAAGGCGGCUACCUGGACCAAUACCGACGCUGAGGUGCGAAAGCGUGGGGAGCAAACAGGAUUAGAAACCCUAGUAGUCC